Molecule: ribosomal RNA, 194 nt
Filed under: uncultured bacterium
Lineage: Bacteria
Description: partial 16S ribosomal RNA
Rfam family: Bacterial small subunit ribosomal RNA
Source: RNAcentral
CCUACGGGAGGCAGCAGUAGGGAAUUUUCCGCAAUGAGCGAAAGCUUGACGGAGCGACACAGCGUGCAGGAUGAAGGUCUUCGGAUUGUAAACUGCUGUUGUAAGGGAAGAAAAAAUUUAAUAGGAAAUGAUUAAAUCUUGACGGUACCUUAUUAGAAAGUGACGGCUAACUAUGUGCCAGCAGCCGCGGUAAU